AACGCAAAUUGCGCUUUUUGGAUAGGCCAGAAAGCAUGCCUCUUUGAGUAUCGUUUUCACCCCAGCUCGACUGCUCUUUUGUGUAACAACGAAUGAGUUUAUGUCGGAGAAUGAGUUUUGUCUUGUCUGAAAUAGAUAAGUCACUUUAAAUGCUGUGAGUGUUACAAUCAUUUACUAUUCAGUGUUGGUCUCAGAUAGCAAUAUCUGGGAGCUUAGUUAAUAAGCUAAUCGCUAGUAGUAUUGUGGAUAAUUUUAUUUACAAUACACGCUAUGGUUAGAGUGUUAGCCAAAGUAAUCUCAUUGGAUACGAUUGUCUUAACAUUCAGUGGAAAUUAAUCUAAUACAUUAAAAACGUAUUAAUACCUUUUGAAUUAGAUCUCAAAUGAAGCAAGACUACCCGCUGAACUUAA
Molecule: unclassified non-coding RNA, 410 nt
Filed under: uncultured fungus
Lineage: Eukaryota; Fungi
Description: sequence contains ITS2
Source: RNAcentral